UUCAGAUAAACCAAAUCCAGCUUGAUUAUCUAGAAAACGUAGCUACCCUUUUGUUGCGGCCGGCCAGAAGGUUCGGGAGUUUUAGCCGUGGCGGCAUUUGAGCUCUCAGUUCCUUCACAACCAUUAACCAUCUCACUGAAGCUCAUCCAUCUCAGAGAAGAGUUCUCCGCUUUAAAGCUCAUCCUCCUCGAUUGGUCAAGAAGAAGACCAAUCGCUUCUUCUUGGUGGGUAUUCUUUUGAACGAUUUUGACUAUGGACUUCAAUACUUGAAAUUAAGGGUUAACCUCCUUGACUUGAAUAAUAUGAGGAAGAAGAAGCGGAGGAGCA
This 327-nucleotide long non-coding RNA is filed under the name Brassica napus (rape). Its description in RNAcentral is "long non-coding RNA (BNAP_LNC014325)". The record is from RNAcentral. Lineage: Eukaryota; Viridiplantae; Streptophyta; Magnoliopsida; Brassicales; Brassicaceae.